This 253-nucleotide ribosomal RNA is filed under the name uncultured bacterium. RNAcentral describes it as "partial 16S ribosomal RNA". It matches the Rfam family "Bacterial small subunit ribosomal RNA", at positions 524 to 776 of the family's 1533-position model. The record is from RNAcentral.
UACGAAGGGGGCGAGCGUUGUUCGGAUUUACUGGGCGUAAAGGGCUCGUAGGUGGCCAACUAAGUCAGACGUGAAAUCCCUCGGCUUAACCGGGGAACUGCGUCUGAUACUGGAUGGCUUGAGUUUGGGAGAGGGACGCGGAAUUCCAGGUGUAGCGGUGAAAUGCGUAGAUAUCUGGAGGAACACCGGUGGCGAAGGCGGCAUCCUGGACCGGUAUUGACACUGAGGCGCGAAAGCCAGGGGAGCAAACGGG